UACAGAGGGGGCAAGCGUUGUUUGGAAUUACUGGGCGUAAAGGGCGCGUAGGCGGCCUGUUAAGUCGAACGUGAAAUCCCCGGGCUCAACCCGGGAACUGCGUCCGAUACUGGCAGGCUUGAAUCCGGGAGAGGGAUGCGGAAUUCCAGGUGUAGCGGUGAAAUGCGUAGAUAUCUGGAGGAACACCGGUGGCGAAGGCGGCAUCCUGGACCGGCAUUGACGCUGAGGCGCGGAAAGCCAGGGGAGCCAAAGCGGGG
Molecule: ribosomal RNA, 257 nt
Filed under: uncultured bacterium
Lineage: Bacteria
Description: partial 16S ribosomal RNA
Rfam family: Bacterial small subunit ribosomal RNA
Source: RNAcentral